Molecule: ribosomal RNA, 841 nt
Filed under: uncultured bacterium
Lineage: Bacteria
Description: bacterial SSU rRNA
Rfam family: Bacterial small subunit ribosomal RNA
Source: RNAcentral
GCAAGCUUGCUUUUCGCUGACGAGUGGCGCACGGGUGCGUAAGCGCGUAUGCAAUCUACCUUGUACAGGGGGAUAGCCUUUAGAAAUGAAGAUUAAUACCCCAUAGUAUACUUUUAAGGCAUCUUUUAAGUAUUAAAAUUUCGGUGGUACAAGAUGAGCAUGCGUCCUAUUAGCUAGUAGGUAUGGUAACGGCAUACCUAGGCGACGAUAGGUAGGGGCCCUGAGAGGGGGAUCCCCCACACUGGUACUGAGACACGGACCAGACUCCUACGGGAGGCAGCAGUGAGGAAUAUUGGACAAUGGGCGGAAGCCUGAUCCAGCCAUGCCGCGUGCAGGAAGACUGCCCUAUGGGUUGUAAACUGCUUUUGUACGGGAAGAAACCCAUCUACGUGUAGAUGGCUGACGGUACCGUAAGAAUAAGCAUCGGCUAACUCCGUGCCAGCAGCCGCGGUAAUACGGAGGAUGCAAGCGUUAUCCGGAAUCAUUGGGUUUAAAGGGUCCGUAGGUGGAUUAGUAAGUCAGAGGUGAAAGCCUGCAGCUCAACUGUAGAACUGCCUUUGAUACUGCUAGUCUUGAGUCGUUGUGAAGUGGUUAGAAUAUGUAGUGUAGCGGUGAAAUGCAUAGAUAUUACAUAGAAUACCGAUUGCGAAGGCAGAUCACUAACAACGUACUGACACUGAUGGACGAAAGCGUGGGGAGCGAACAGGAUUAGAUACCCUGGUAGUCCACGCCGUAAACGAUGGUCACUAGCUGUUCGGACUUCGGUCUGAGUGGCUAAGCGAAAGUGAUAAGUGACCCACCUGGGGAGUACGUUCGCAAGAAUGAAACUCAAAGGAAUUGA